UAAUGCCGGAUGCUCCAUCACACCGCAUGGUGUGUUGGGAAAGCCUUUGCGGCAUGGGAUGGGGUCGCGUCCUAUCAGCUUGAUGGCGGGGUAACGGCCCACCAUGGCUUCGACGGGUAGCCGGCCUGAGAGGGCGACCGGCCACAUUGGGACUGAGAUACGGCCCAGACUCCUACGGGAGGCAGCAGUGGGGAAUAUUGCACAAUGGGCGCAAGCCUGAUGCAGCGACGCCGCGUGAGGGAUGGAGGCCUUCGGGUUGUAAACCUCUUUUGUUAGGGAGCAAGGCAUUUUGUGUUGAGUGUACCUUUCGAAUAAGCACCGGCUAACUACGUGCCAGCAGCCGCGGUAAUACGUAGGGUGCAAGCGUUAUCCGGAAUUAUUGGGCGUAAAGGGCUCGUAGGCGGUUCGUCGCGUCCGGUGUGAAAGUCCAUCGCUUAACGGUGGAUCCGCGCCGGGUACGGGCGGGCUUGAGUGCGGUAGGGGAGACUGGAAUUCCCGGUGUAACGGUGGAAUGUGUAGAUAUCGGAAA
This 529-nucleotide ribosomal RNA is filed under the name Bifidobacterium breve. RNAcentral's name for it is "bacterial SSU rRNA". It matches the Rfam family "Bacterial small subunit ribosomal RNA", at positions 164 to 703 of the family's 1533-position model. Lineage: Bacteria; Bacillati; Actinomycetota; Actinomycetes; Bifidobacteriales; Bifidobacteriaceae. The record is from RNAcentral.